RNA transcript from Nomascus leucogenys (northern white-cheeked gibbon), 5726 nucleotides. It is a transcript of the gene named SPT3 homolog, SAGA and STAGA complex component, with no coding region annotated. The record is from RefSeq and is a predicted model, not a curated record. The transcript is spliced from 12 exons. Lineage: Eukaryota; Metazoa; Chordata; Mammalia; Primates; Hylobatidae.
CCGCACUGCCAGUGCUGGGGGCGUCCGUAUCGCUUACUCCUCAGUCUCCGCAACCCCCGCCCCACCGAGAGUCGGGCUCACGCCAUCUUGCACCCCCCCAUCCCCCCGUCACACAGCCGAGUCACCUUUUCCCUUUCUACACUCCACACUCUCUGCCCCUCCCCCACCCUGCCCCUUUCCAAGCGUGUCCCGGGCCGCAGCAGCAGAAACCGCACCAUCUCCACCCCCACAUUCUCCUCGCGGGAAGCGCAGCAGUGCCUACAAGGGUUCUUAAAGCAGAGAUGAAUAAUACGGCAUCUAGUCCAAUGUCUACUGCAACUUCAAGUAGUGGAAGGAGUACAGGGAAGUCUAUAAGCUUUGCAACAGAAUUACAGAGUAUGAUGUAUUCUUUAGGUGAUGCUAGAAGGCCUCUUCAUGAAACAGCAGUUUUGGUAGAAGAUGUGGUACACACUCAGUUAAUUAAUCUGUUACAGCAAGCUGCUGAAGUUUCUCAGCUGCGGGGAGCAAGGGUAAUCACUCCUGAAGAUCUUCUGUUUUUGAUGCGCAAAGAUAAGAAAAAACUUAGAAGAUUGCUAAAAUACAUGUUUAUCCGAGACUACAAAUCAAAGAUUGUCAAAGGCAUCGAUGAGGAUGAUCUUCUUGAAGACAAAUUGAGUGGCAGCAAUAAUGCGAACAAAAGACAAAAGAUUGCUCAGGACUUCCUCAACUCUAUUGACCAGACAGGAGAACUUUUAGCAAUGUUUGAAGAUGAUGAAAUUGAUGAAGUUAAACAAGAAAGAAUGGAGAGAGCAGAAAGACAAACUCGAAUUAUGGAUUCAGCUCAAUAUGCAGAAUUCUGUGAAAGUCGACAAUUAAGUUUCUCCAAAAAAGCUUCCAAAUUUCGAGACUGGUUGGACUGCAGCAGUAUGGAGAUAAAACCCAAUGUUGUCGCAAUGGAAAUCUUAGCAUAUUUAGCAUAUGAAACUGUGGCACAGUUAGUGGAUCUGGCUCUUCUUGUGAGGCAGGACAUGGUAACCAAGGCAGGGGACCCCUUCAGCCAUGCCAUUUCUGCAACCUUCAUUCAGUAUCACAACUCUGCUGAGAGCACUGCAGCCUGUGGUGUUGAGGCUCACAGCGAUGCCAUCCAGCCCUGCCACAUCAGAGAGGCCAUUCGACGCUACAGCCACAAGAUUGGCCCACUUUCCCCAUUCACAAAUGCCUACCGCAGGAAUGGGAUGACUUUUCUAGCCUGCUGAUGUGACAACUGUGAUGUGCUUGCAACAACAGGAAAGGCAAUGUUAUAUUAAGGAGUAAACCAAGCCAAUUCAGCACUUCCUGUUUACUUCCUUGUCAUAUGUAUCAUAGAUGGUGACAGACCUGCUCUCAAAACAAGCUUCCUUCGUUUAAUUCUGCAUUUUCUGCUUAGGCAACCACCCUAUCAAUAUACUUGAACAAUGAAACAAUUUGGCUACUGAAGCACUGUCUCUGAAUUCCUCCUUCAACUUGUCAGUGGAAAGGAAAGUCCCUUGGUGGAAUGGUAGGAAUAGUUUUAAGUGGGGUAUCACACAGUGCCUUACAGUGGAGAAUAUCAAAGCAUUUUCAGCUCUUAAUCUUGGUGUGCAUGACAUGGGUGAACACAAGGCUAGUAAACAACUUGAUUUCCUUAGGAGAUUCUCAGUGCUCUAUCUGUUUUUUAAGUAAGAAGAUUGAGUUUCAUGUAUAUUGAGUGACUAAAGUGUAAGCUUAGAAAUAUUUUAUGUUUCCAUCAUAGUUUAUUCUGUUCAGCAUAAAUCAUCAGAGCCAACCAUAACUUAACCAUUUACUAGAGCUUUUUCAGAGUCAGUUGUAUUACAAGCAUGUCAGACACACCUUCCUACAAGUCCCUCAAGGUCAAUAGUUUAGAAAUUCUGCGCUUUCCUUCCCUUCCCCACUCAACACUUAUGGAAAUAUAUGCUAAUUGGAACAGAAGCUGCCUACCAAACUAACAGGGUUAGACCACUCUUAACACAAGAUUAAUGAGAAAGAAGUUUAAGGAAAAAAUAACAUUUCUCAAGCAGUAAGAAAGUACACGCCAAGUAAAAGCCAACAGUCUGCAUCAGUCGGAUACCAAACUGCUUUCCCCUGACUUUACUUAAAGGAGUUAAAGACAGGGAAUCCUGUAUGUCCAGCCUUGCUCUAGUCACUGUUGCCAGCCUUUUGGCUCAGUGUGGCUGGCUCCUCAUCUUCCUUGGGACCUCAGCUCAGCAGCCACCAUUGUGGAAAACAAGACCACAGACUCAAGGGUUAGAAUGAGACUCUAUACACUGUUUACUAAGGUGACAUGCCAGAAGGAAUGAUGAGGCACAGACAUACUGCAUGUGGCCCACUGCAUUCAUGACAGGCCUUUGUAGGUGUGUGAUUUAUAUUCAUAAAAGGGGGUUCGGAGACAACGGAUGUUUACAGUCACUGAUAUUGGCAAGAAAUUAAGUUUGUGAAUCACUGCGCUGUUGAUAGAUGACUGAACUGUGAGUUAGCAGACAUCAAGAGCUGUUAGUUACGAGUGAUACUAACGUUCUUUUGAAAUAGGUUUAGACAACAGUAUUUGCUUAGAAGGAGAAAAGCCUAAAGAUCUUAUCAAUUUGCAGAAACUGUAAUUGGCAUACUACAUGAUAUAUUUACAUUAUUUGGCAAAGGCCAGUGGGGGCAGGGGGCGAUUUCUCUUAGAAUUCCAACCCUUUUAGGAUCCAAAGGCAGCCUUCACCUGUGGCACAUGCUUAGCUCUUUAUAAGCACCCUAAAUUUUUCCAAAUAAAUUUUACACAUUUAAAAAGUGAUGAUCUUUCACACCUAGUACCCAGAUCUUAGUUUCUAAAUAUCAUUCCCCACUGGUAUUCAGGGUUCCUUGGAGAAAUGCCUGAUCCCAGAACCAGGGCAGGGAAAGAUGCCUGGAAAAAUGAGCCUUGAAUAUUUUAUUGCAUAAGAAAAUAAGGAACUGGUCAAAGAACCAUGGGGAGAUGUCAAAAAUGGAGCUGGAAGAGGCUCUUACUGGCCAAAUCUGGGACAAUUUGAGCAUCAAAAUAAAUGAUAGUACUAGUUUGUCACCCAUAGAAUAAAUAUUCAUGAGUCCAUGCAGUAUAAAUAAGUAAACAGAGGAGAAAGUGAAAGGUCUUCUUUGCAGAAGAAUGCCAACUAAUAAAUAUAGAAAGAAUAGUGGCAUUAAGAUCAUCCAUGGUAGAGGAAGACUGAUAAGAAGUGGUUUAUGUAGUCUCAAAUUUUCUCCCCACAAAUUACUGAUUAAUUGAAAAGGAAAAAAUAGUAAAAAAGAAAUCUGAUGUUCUUUAAAUUAUUUAUUUAUUGUAAGUAUUGUUGAUUAAAAUGUUAUGUUUGUGUUCAAAAAUGGAUAAGUACUCUUGCUUAAAUUUUGUGUUUCUGCAGGCUAUGCCACUAAAUAAGAAAUGCAAACAGGGAGAAAUUCAUUUAUAAUAGUUGAAAGAAAAUCUCCAAUGAUGGCAAAUCCUUUGAUAAAAUAUAUUUUUGUCAAAUGCCUAAGACAGCUCCUUUUGUUCAGCCUCAAUCUGGAAAUUGUUCUUCCCUCCAAAAGCCAGAACAGGCUGACACUGUAGCACAUCAGAGGCAUAUGGGAGCUCUCUGCUCCAAGCACUGCAAUUUAAGGGAGAUGGGAUGCUACAGCAUCAUGUGGGCAAAGAGGUGGCCAUUCUAGGAUGGCACUGGAACUCCAUCUGUCCCUUCUCCAGUGAGGACCCUGGCCAUCUUUAUUUCUCCCUUUUGUUGUCUAUAUAAAACCAGAAACACUGUUUUCAGUUCCUGUGAUGGUUAGGUAUCUAAAGCAGGCAGGACACCAAUGUCCAGACAUGGCAGACUGGGUAAACAGGACUCAUAGAUAAUGCUGGCUCAGCUGGGUGCCCAGCCACCUGGUUAUGUGAUGAACUGCACUAGCUUUCCAGGGAGACCGGACAGGCACCUCGAAGACUACAUUCAGAUGCUAAAAUGCACACCCACAAAGCAGCCAUCUCAGACUUCUAAUCUUACUUUAUGACCAAACUGUAAUUACAUUACACCAAUUACUUGAAUAUUACAUUUUUAUUACUGUUAUGUCAUUAUGUCUACUAGGAAAAAAAUAUGCCUACUUUAACCAAUAAAAUUCUUAAUGACUCAUUUAAGCUGUGUCUACAUGAAACCCCUGACUUAAACAUUUUGGUCAAAAUAAUUUUUAGGGCCUGGGAGAAAAAGAGAGUUAAUCUCCAUCUAUGUGAUUACCCCCAAAGCAAGAAAACUUCCAGUCGUAGAUGUACGGCUAGAAGUUAAAAAGUUCCAGCCAAGGCUAAUCAGAAAGUCACGAUGACUAUAUUUAAGAGCUAUAUUUAUACAGCCGUCAAUUCUUUAUCAUCUGGUGAUCAGUUACAACUAUUAAUAAAAAAGGAGAGCUGGGAACUCAGGAAACAUCCAUUGUAGCCAUCCUCCAAAUGCAUGGAGGCAUGUUUACACUUCCAAAAUGUCAAGUAGGCCCAGCUGUAAAAAGAUUCUUUAAAGGCCAUCUAGGCCAGUUUUUUGGGAGGCAGUGAUUUAAUUGGGACUCACUAGGGACAGUCCCCCGAAUAAAGUUAUUAAUGUGUAGAACUUCUGUUUUAAAAUCAUUAUAAUUACAUUUUACUACAUUUACCUCUUUUAAGGUAGCAUCUCAUUUUCUGUAGGCCAGUGACCUGUAGAGCUUAUCUCACUGAGAAAUUCCAGGCAGUCAGACUCGGUGCAUUUUCUCAGCAGAGGGACCUCUGACCUUAACCACCUCUCAGCUCGCCCCAAACCUAUGUGUCCCUUUCCCAAGCCAUGCAGACUCAGACAAGCAUAGGAUGCUACCUGUCUCCAAAAUAAUUCUCUACUUCGGGAGCCAGAAUUCAGACCCUUGAAUUUUGAGAAUUUACCAUAUGCACUUAAGUGAGUCAAAAUAUCCAAAUUUAAUCACUGUUGAAAACUUUUUUCACAUACAUUUUACAUAUGCCUUUUCCUCCCAAGUUUUAUGGAUUAAACACUUUCCUACAAGAAGAUGAAGUGGGAACAGGUUUUUCUUCCCCUAGGUUUGGUAUUUGCUUUAUUUAAAAAAAAAAUCCUUUUGACAAUAUAUGUACUCUGUAUUACUGUGUAAAAUCUCAUGCCUAAUUCUAAAGUUAUGUGCAUCUGCUGGACAUAAACACUGUUAAACAUUCAUGACUGCCUACAAAUGUGAAAAGUAUUACCAGGUCUAUUUUUAACAUUAUUUUGGCAAGACUGUUGCUGUGGAAAAAAAAAUCCUAUAGAAUCUUAAUGAGAAAACUGAAUGAUUCUUUGAAAUGUGGUUGUGAUUCCUUAACUUAUUAAGUGAUGAUGUCAUUGGUGCCAAGAAGCAAGAAACAGUGAACUCACUCACUUGCCAGCAUGCUCUGGAGAUACACCAGAAGGGAAAUGAAACUCAUCUUGAGUGCGGUUUGUGCUGAGCUGCACCUUCCCCCACAGCUCGGAAGGUCACACUUGUCCCUGCACAGGACAUGUCUCACACACUUGGUCUGUCAUCUCUGUGAACCUACGUCAUGGAAGGGUGCACUGAUUGCAUUUGUUUUUAUGGAACUUGAUCUGUUUGCUGGCCUUUUUUCUGCUUAUUACCCACAUUUGUCUUACAGAAAAGAACCACCUUGUUUCACCUGUUGGAGAAAGACGGGGGUGUCCUCCAGCUCACCUGAGUCCCCUCAGUCACUUAAUUAGCAAGUGGCAAGAAGU